UCCGGUUUGUCACCGGCAGUCUCAUUAGAGUGCCCAACUGAAUGUAGCAACUAACUAUAAGGGUUGCGCUCGUUGAUGGACUUAACCAAACAUCUCACGACACGAGCUGACGACGGCCAUGCAUCACCUGUCACUUGGUUCCAAAGGCACUCUCUCCUUUCGGAGAAAUUCCAAGGAUGUCAAGCCUGGGUAAGGUUCUUCGCUUACCAUCGAAUUAAACAACACGCUCCACCGCUUGUGCGGGUCCCCGUCAAUUCCUUUAUGUUUUAGUCUUGCGACCGUACUCCACAGGCGGGAUGCUUAACGCGUUAGCUUCGCUACUAGAAGGGUCGAUACUUCUAACAGCUAGCAUCCAUAGUUUACGGCGUGGACUAC
RNAcentral lists this unclassified non-coding RNA (375 nucleotides) under uncultured bacterium. Its description in RNAcentral is "contains 16S-23S intergenic spacer region". The record is from RNAcentral.